RNAcentral lists this long non-coding RNA (336 nucleotides) under Vigna radiata. Its description in RNAcentral is "long non-coding RNA (VRAD_LNC016010)". The record is from RNAcentral. Lineage: Eukaryota; Viridiplantae; Streptophyta; Magnoliopsida; Fabales; Fabaceae.
CCAAGGACUUUCAUCAAACACUUGGUGACAGAUUUUCAAUCAAGACAAACAAGCAAUUAAUUCGGUUUGCAAUGAAAGUUGGCACUCAAAAGGAUCUUAGAAUAGCUCUAGAACAGAUUCACAAAGCAAUAAAAGACACACAUGCUGCAGUAUACAAUUUUCACAUAAAUUCUGCAAAAAUUGGCAAAGUGUUUGAUGGAAUGUCUCAAAGAAAACUGCAUAUAAUUGUUUCUGCUGUUACUGACUUUUAUCUACUGGAUUGCGGGAGUUUCAAGCUUCUUUUAGAUGUUAUUUUUCAAUCUCAAUGGUUAGGAAAACAUAGAGACUUUUCUCCCA